Molecule: non-coding RNA, 94 nt
Organism: Marasmius tenuissimus
Lineage: Eukaryota; Fungi; Basidiomycota; Agaricomycetes; Agaricales; Marasmiaceae
Source: the annotation of a GenBank genome assembly
ACACCGUUGGUGAAGUGGUUAUCAUGCUUGCCUUCCAUAAUAAGGAUCUCGUGCAUCGUAGCAAGCGGCUCGGGUUCGAUUCCCGAACGGUGUA